GGGGAUGUGUGGAGACUGGAGGUGGUGUGAGAUGAAGAUGGAGCCUGCCGCGCGAUCAUCACAGAUGUGGAAAGAGUUCGGUAGACUGACAGGCUGGGAAGGAGAUGUCAAAGCCGACUGCGCACAGCGUCUCCGAGACGUGUUGGACCGCGUGAAGUUGGAGACCGGCUGUGGAGAUGAUACUGUGUCAGCUCUGCUGUCGCUGCUGGGUGAGGACGACGCAGUGUUCCCAACAAACAUGGAGGCGUGGCCUUGUAUUGUGGGCGAGAACCUGUGUGUGGAAAAAAACGGAGGUCGUGAAGACGAACGGGCUAAGCAGCCAGGACAAACUGCUCCUGUGGGGAAUCGUUUUCUCCGUCCUGUCACAGAAAAUGACAUUCACGGCAUGCCAGUGUACGGCCACCCUCAUGAACGUUCAUGUGCUGAGGGCGGAUGAGAUAGGCUCCAUGCCAAAGAGGCUCCGAGCUGCCUGGAGUAGGCUGACUGCUCCAACUAAGUAGGUGACAAAAAGAUGACGUUCAGUUGAGUUCAUGAGCCUGCUUUCCUGUUCAUUGUGACUUGUGAGUUAGGGCUCCAGGCGGCGCGGAGUCUCUUUACCAUAGUGCUUUGGUUAUCAUACCAAGAUUGUUUAGAAAAGAACAUUGCUUUGUUUGUCUUUGUUCUCUUGUGUCCAUCGAGUCUCGUGACCGCCCGAUUCGGUGACCGCUUGUCACCUGACUGGAUCUGGGUGGGACAGUCACCGGGCUGUGAAGACUCUGGUGUCAGUCUGGCGACCGCCCUCCCCCCCAUGUCUGGUGUCUGGUCUGGUAUAUGUUGUCAGCAGAGUCCGGUGACCACCCGUGCACUUGAGAAAGCGCCACUCACAGUUGCCGCAAUUUUUGUUAAUAACAUUUGUUUAUUGCUCGUCUCGGACGUUACAAAAUAAAUUGUCUUUAUUUAAGGAAUGCUUUGCUUUGU
Molecule: long non-coding RNA, 957 nt
Organism: Amphibalanus amphitrite
Lineage: Eukaryota; Metazoa; Arthropoda; Thecostraca; Balanomorpha; Balanidae
Exons: 3
Source: RefSeq, a predicted model, not a curated record